CAAUAGCGUAUAUUAAAGUUGUUGCAGUUAAAAAGCUCGUAGUUGGACCUUGGACCUGGACAGGCGGUCCGCCUCACGGCGUGUACUGUCUUGCUGGGUCUUUCCUCUUGGUGAUCUGUUGUUUCGGCAGCAGGGAACCAGGACUUUUACUUUGAAAAAAUUAGAGUGUUCAAAGCAGGCUCGACGCCGGAAUAUAUUAGCAUGGAAUAAUAAAAUAGGACGUGCGGUUCUAUUUUGUUGGUUUUUGGAAUCGCCGUAAUGAUUAAUAGGGACAGUCGGGGGCAUUAGUACUUACAUGCUAGAGGUGAAAUUCUUGGAUUUUGUGAAGACUAACUUCUGCGAAAGCAUUUGCCAAGGAUGUUUUCAUUAA
RNAcentral lists this ribosomal RNA (370 nucleotides) under uncultured eukaryote. RNAcentral describes it as "partial 18S ribosomal RNA". It matches the Rfam family "Eukaryotic small subunit ribosomal RNA", at positions 592 to 976 of the family's 1831-position model. The record is from RNAcentral.